UGGGGAAUAUUGCACAAUGGGCGCAAGCCUGAUGCAGCCAUGCCGCGUGUAUGAAGAAGGCCUUCGGGUUGUAAAGUACUUUCAGCGAGGAGGAAGGCGGUAAGGUUAAUAACCUUAUCGAUUGACGUUACUCGCAGAAGAAGCACCGGCUAACUCCGUGCCAGCAGCCGCGGUAAUACGGAGGGUGCAAGCGUUAAUCGGAAUUACUGGGCGUAAAGCGCACGCAGGCGGUCUGUCAAGUCGGAUGUGAAAUCCCCGGGCUCAACCUGGGAACUGCAUUCGAAACUGGCAGGCUAGAGUCUUGUAGAGGGGGGUAGAAUUCCAGGUGUAGCGGUGAAAUGCGUAGAGAUCAGGAGGAAUACCGGUGGCGAAGGCGGCCCCCUGGACAAAGACUGACGCUCAGGUGCGAAAGCGUGGGGAGCAAACA
This 427-nucleotide ribosomal RNA is filed under the name uncultured bacterium. RNAcentral describes it as "partial 16S ribosomal RNA". It matches the Rfam family "Bacterial small subunit ribosomal RNA", at positions 355 to 774 of the family's 1533-position model. The record is from RNAcentral.